AUGGCCACGGCCGCCACCAUCUCCGCCACGCCCCUCGCCCCCCGGCAUGCCUUCGCCAGCCCCAAAAUGCUGCGAUCGCUCCCCUUCCUCCGGCGCCGCCUGCCCUCCUUGGCCGCCGCCGCGGUCAAGCAGGACGCGGCGGUCUGGAACGCGGCCCCCGUCGCCUCCAUCGGCGCGGCCAGCGCCGACGGCUCGCUCUUCCACCUGCGCGUCGACCUCUCCGACGCCGCCGACCUCGCCUCCUCCUUCACCGCGCCGGGGCAGUACCUCCUGGUCCGCGUCCCCGGGGAGGACGACCUCAAGCCCGCCUUCAUGGCCAUCGCGUCGCCGCCGGGGGGAGGCGCCUUCGAGUUCCUCGUCAAGGCCGUGCCCGGCGCCACCGCGGAGAAGCUCUGCGGUCUCCGCGGCGGGGACGUGGUGGAGCUCGGCGCGGUCAUGGGCAAGGGGUUCCCGAUCGAGAGGGUGACCCCGGCGGACGCCGCGGAGACGCUGCUCCUCUUUGCCACCGGGACCGGGAUUAGCCCGAUCCGCUCGCUCAUCGAGUUCGGCUUCGCGGCCAAGCAGAGAGCUGAUGUGAGGCUCUACUAUGGCGCCAGGAAUCUGGAAACAAUGGCGUAUCAGGAGAGAUUUGCAGAGUGGGAGUCAACUGGGCUCAAGAUAGUGCCGGUCCUGUCACGGCCAGAUGAUAGCUGGAAAGGUGAAAAGGGGUAUGUUCAGCGCGCGUUCUUGGAAGCCAAGAACAUUGCCAAUCCUACUUCCACUGGGGCUGUGCUAUGCGGGCAAAGCCAAAUGAUCGAGGAGGUCACCUCGGCCCUUACAGCAGAUGGUGUAUCACAGGAUAAAAUCUUGAAGAACUUCUAG
Molecule: ribosomal RNA, 861 nt
Filed under: Triticum aestivum (bread wheat)
Lineage: Eukaryota; Viridiplantae; Streptophyta; Magnoliopsida; Poales; Poaceae
Description: partial small subunit ribosomal RNA
Source: RNAcentral